This 253-nucleotide ribosomal RNA is filed under the name uncultured bacterium. Its description in RNAcentral is "partial 16S ribosomal RNA". It matches the Rfam family "Bacterial small subunit ribosomal RNA", at positions 524 to 776 of the family's 1533-position model. The record is from RNAcentral.
UACGUAGGUGGCAAGCGUUGUCCGGAAUUAUUGGGCGUAAAGCGCGCGCAGGCGGUCCUUUAAGUCUGAUGUGAAAGCCCACGGCUCAACCGUGGAGGGGCAUUGGAAACUGGGGGACUUGAGUACAGAAGAGAAGAGUGGAAUUCCACGUGUAGCGGUGAAAUGCGUAGAGAUGUGGAGGAACACCAGUGGCGAAGGCGACUCUUUGGUCUGUAACUGACGCUGAGACGCGAAAGCGUGGGGAGCGAACAGG